Molecule: ribosomal RNA, 2921 nt
Filed under: Escherichia coli
Lineage: Bacteria; Pseudomonadati; Pseudomonadota; Gammaproteobacteria; Enterobacterales; Enterobacteriaceae
Description: 23S ribosomal RNA
Rfam family: Bacterial large subunit ribosomal RNA
Source: RNAcentral
GGGUUGUGAGGUUAAGCGACUAAGCGUACACGGUGGAUGCCCUGGCAGUCAGAGGCGAUGAAGGACGUGCUAAUCUGCGAUAAGCGUCGGUGAGGUGAUAUGAACCGUUAUAACCGGCGAUUUCCGAAUGGGGAAACCCAGUGUGAUUCGUCACACUAUCAUUAACUGAAUCCAUAGGUUAAUGAGGCGAACCGGGGGAACUGAAACAUCUAAGUACCCCGAGGAAAAGAAAUCAACCGAGAUUCCCCCAGUAGCGGCGAGCGAACGGGGAGCAGCCCAGAGCCUGAAUCAGUGUGUGUGUUAGUGGAAGCGUCUGGAAAGGCGCGCGAUACAGGGUGACAGCCCCGUACACAAAAAUGCACAUACUGUGAGCUCGAUGAGUAGGGCGGGACACGUGGUAUCCUGUCUGAAUAUGGGGGGACCAUCCUCCAAGGCUAAAUACUCCUGACUGACCGAUAGUGAACCAGUACCGUGAGGGAAAGGCGAAAAGAACCCCGGCGAGGGGAGUGAAAAAGAACCUGAAACCGUGUACGUACAAGCAGUGGGAGCCUCUUAAUGGGGUGACUGCGUACCUUUGUAUAAUGGGUCAGCGACUUAUAUUCUGUAGCAAGGUUAACCGAAUAGGGGAGCCGAAGGGAAACCGAGUCUUAACUGGGCGUUAAGUUGCAGGGUAUAGACCCGAAACCCGGUGAUCUAGCCAUGGGCAGGUUGAAGGUUGGGUAACACUAACUGGAGGACCGAACCGACUAAUGUUGAAAAAUUAGCGGAUGACUUGUGGCUGGGGUGAAAGGCCAAUCAAACCGGGAGAUAGCUGGUUCUCCCCGAAAGCUAUUUAGGUAGCGCCUCGUGAAUUCAUCUCCGGGGUAGAGCACUGUUUCGGCAAGGGGUCAUCCCGACUUACCAACCCGAUGCAAACUGCGAAUACCGGAGAAUGUUAUCACGGGAGACACACGGCGGGUGCUAACGUCCGUCGUGAAGAGGGAAACAACCCAGACCGCCAGCUAAGGUCCCAAAGUCAUGGUUAAGUGGGAAACGAUGUGGGAAGGCCCAGACAGCCGUGAUGUUGGCUUAGAAGCAGCCAUCAUUUAAAGAAAGCGUAAUAGCUCACUGGUCGAGUCGGCCUGCGCGGAAGAUGUAACGGGCUAAACCAUGCACCGAAGCUGCGGCAGCGACGUUUAUGCGUUGUUGGGUAGGGGAGCGUUCUGUAAGCCUGCGAAGGUGUACUGUGAGGUAUGCUGGAGGUAUCAGAAGUGCGAAUGCUGACAUAAGUAACGAUAAAGCGGGUGAAAAGCCCGCUCGCCGGAAGACCAAGGGUUCCUGUCCAACGUUAAUCGGGGCAGGGUGAGUCGACCCCUAAGGCGAGGCCGAAAGGCGUAGUCGAUGGGAAACAGGUUAAUAUUCCUGUACUUGGUGUUACUGCGAAGGGGGGACGGAGAAGGCUAUGUUGGCCGGGCGACGGUUGUCCCGGUUUAAGCGUGUAGGCUGAUUUUCCGUGCAAAUCCGGAAAAUCAAGGCUGAGGCGUGAUGACGAGGCACUACGGUGCUGAAGCAACAAAUGCCCUGCUUCCGUGAAAGCCUCUAAGCAUCAGGUAACAUCAAAUCGUACCCCAAACCGACACAGGUGGUCAGGUAGAGAAUACCAAGGCGCUUGAGAGAACUCGGGUGAAGGAACUAGGCAAAAUGGUGCCGUAACUUCGGGAGAAGGCACGCUGAUAUGUAGGUGAAGUCCCUUGCGGAUGGAGCUGAAAUCAGUCGAAGAUACCAGCUGGCUGCAACUGUUUAUUAAAACACAGCACUGUGCAAACACGAAAGUGGACGUAUACGGUGUGACGCCUGCCCGGUGCCGGAAGGUUAAUUGAUGGGGUUAGCGGUAACGCGAAGCUCUUGAUCGAAGCCCCGGUAAACGGCGGCCGUAACUAUAACGGUCCUAAGGUAGCGAAAUUCCUUGUCGGGUAAGUUCCGACCUGCACGAAUGGCGUAAUGAUGGCGGGCUGUCUCCACCCGAGACUCAGUGAAAUUGAACUCGCUGUGAAGAUGCAGUGUACCCGCGGCAAGACGGAAAGACCCCGUGAACCUUUACUAUAGCUUGACACUGAACAUUGAGCCUUGAUGUGUAGGAUAGGUGGGAGGCUUUGAAGUGUGGACGCCAGUCUGCAUGGAGCCGGCCUUGAAAUACCACCCUUUAAUGUUUGAUGUUCUAACGUUGGCCCCUGAUCGGGGUUGCGGACAGUGUCUGGUGGGUAGUUUGACUGGGGCGGUCUCCUCCUAAAGAGUAACGGAGGAGCACGAAGGUUGGCUAAUCCGGUCGGACAUCAGGAGGUUAGUGCAAUGGCAUAAGCCAGCUUGACUGCGAGCGUGACGGCGCGAGCAGGUGCGAAAGCAGGUCAUAGUGAUCCGGUGGUUCUGAAUGGAAGGGCCAUCGCUCAACGGAUAAAAGGUACCGGGGAUAACAGGCUGAUACCGCCCAAGAGUUCAUAUCGACGGCGGUGUUUGGCACCUCGAUGUCGGCUCAUCACAUCCUGGGGCUGAAGUAGGUCCCAAGGGUAUGGCUGUUCGCCAUUUAAAGUGGUACGCGAGCUGGGUUUAGAACGUCGUGAGACAGUUCGGUCCCUAUCUGCCGUGGGCGCUGGAGAACUGAGGGGGGCUGCUCCUAGUACGAGAGGACCGGAGUGGACGCAUCACUGGUGUUCGGGUUGUCAUGCCAAUGGCACUGCCCGGUAGCUAAAUGCGGAAGAGAUAAGUGCUGAAAGCAUCUAAGCACGAAACUUGCCCCGAGAUGAGUUCUCCCUGACCCUUUAAGGGUCCUGAAGGAACGUUGAAGACGACGACGUUGAUAGGCCGGGUGUGUAAGCGCAGCGAUGCGUUGAGCUAACCGGUACUAAUGAACCGUGAGGCUUAACCUUACAACGCCGAAGGUGUUU